This 465-nucleotide ribosomal RNA is filed under the name Vreelandella stevensii. RNAcentral describes it as "partial 16S ribosomal RNA". It matches the Rfam family "Bacterial small subunit ribosomal RNA", at positions 338 to 795 of the family's 1533-position model. Lineage: Bacteria; Pseudomonadati; Pseudomonadota; Gammaproteobacteria; Oceanospirillales; Halomonadaceae. The record is from RNAcentral.
CCUACGGGAGGCUGCAGUGGGGAAUAUUGGACAAUGGGGGCAACCCUGAUCCAGCCAUGCCGCGUGUGUGAAGAAGGCCCUCGGGUUGUAAAGCACUUUCAGUGAGGAAGAACGCCUGGUGGUUAAUACCCAUCAGGAAAGACAUCACUCACAGAAGAAGCACCGGCUAACUCCGUGCCAGCAGCCGCGGUAAUACGGAGGGUGCGAGCGUUAAUCGGAAUUACUGGGCGUAAAGCGCGCGUAGGUGGCUUGAUAAGCCGGUUGUGAAAGCCCCGGGCUCAACCUGGGAACGGCAUCCGGAACUGUCAAGCUAGAGUGCAGGAGAGGAAGGUAGAAGUCCCGGUGUAGCGGUGAAAUGCGUAGAGAUCGGGAGGAAUACCAGUGGCGAAGGCGGCCUUCUGGACUGACACUGACACUGAGGUGCGAAAGCGUGGGUAGCAAACAGGAUUAGAUACCCCAGUAGUC